GGCCGUGUGGCUCAAUGGCAGAGCGUUACUUUCCGGUUCAUCACAAAGAACUUAUGUAUUUCUGUUUGGUAAAGGUUCUGGGUUCGAAUCCCAGCAUGGUCG
Podospora australis is the source of this 102-nucleotide non-coding RNA. NCBI's taxonomy places the organism in Eukaryota, Fungi, Ascomycota, Sordariomycetes, Sordariales, Podosporaceae. The record is from the annotation of a GenBank genome assembly.